RNAcentral lists this ribosomal RNA (791 nucleotides) under uncultured Bacillota bacterium. RNAcentral's name for it is "bacterial SSU rRNA". It matches the Rfam family "Bacterial small subunit ribosomal RNA", at positions 71 to 840 of the family's 1533-position model. Lineage: Bacteria; Bacillati; Bacillota. The record is from RNAcentral.
AAAGUCCCGCAAGGGAUGAGUAGAGUGGCAAACGGGUGAGUAACACGUGGGUGACCUGCCUUCGAGCGGGGGAUAACGUCCCGAAAGGGACGCUAAUACCGCAUAACAUCCUGCCUUUGAAGAGGCGGUGAUCAAAGCUGGGGAUCGCAAGACCUAGCACUCGAAGAGGGGCCCGCGUCCGAUUAGCUAGUUGGUGAGGUAAUGGCUCACCGAGGCAACGAUCGGUAGCCGGCCUGAGAGGGCGGACGGCCACACUGGGACUGAGACACGGCCCAGACUCCUACGGGAGGCAGCAGUGGGGAAUUGUUCGCAAUGGGCGCAAGCCUGACGACGCAACGCCGCGUGGAGGAUGAAGAUCUUCGGGUCGUAAACUCCUUUCGAUCGAGACGAAUUCCUUCGGGGUGAACAAUCCCGGAGGUUGACGGUACCGAGAGAAGAAGCCCCGGCUAACUCCGUGCCAGCAGCCGCGGUAAUACGGGGGGGGCAAGCGUUGUUCGGAAUUACUGGGCGUAAAGGGCUCGUAGGUGGCCAACUAAGUCAGACGUGAAAUCCCUCGGCUUAACCGGGGAACUGCGUCUGAUACUGGUUGGCUUGAGUUUGGGAGAGGGAUGCGGAAUUCCAGGUGUAGCGGUGAAAUGCGUAGAUAUCUGGAGGAACACCGGUGGCGAAGGCGGCAUCCUGGACCAACACUGACGCUGAGGAGCGAAAGCCAGGGGAGCAAACGGGAUUAGAUACCCCGGUAGUCCUGGCCCUAAACGAUGAAUGCUUGGUGUGGCGGGUAUCGAUCCCUG